Molecule: ribosomal RNA, 726 nt
Filed under: uncultured bacterium
Lineage: Bacteria
Description: bacterial SSU rRNA
Rfam family: Bacterial small subunit ribosomal RNA
Source: RNAcentral
ACACAUGCAAGUCGAGGGGAAACGACAUCGAAGGCUUGCUUUUGAUGGGCGUCGACCGGCGCACGGGUGAGUAACGCGUAUCCAACCUGCCCAUCACUUGGGGAUAACCUUGCGAAAGUAAGACUAAUACCCAAUGAUAUCUCUAGAAGACAUCUGAAAGAGAUUAAAGAUUUAUCGGUGAUGGAUGGGGAUGCGUCUGAUUAGCUUGUUGGCGGGGUAACGGCCCACCAAGGCUACGAUCAGUAGGGGUUCUGAGAGGAAGGUCCCCCACAUUGGAACUGAGACACGGUCCAAACUCCUACGGGAGGCAGCAGUGAGGAAUAUUGGUCAAUGGACGAGAGUCUGAACCAGCCAAGUAGCGUGCAGGAUGACGGCCCUAUGGGUUGUAAACUGCUUUUAUAAGGGAAUAAAGUGAGCCUCGUGAGGCUUUUUGCAUGUACCUUAUGAAUAAGGACCGGCUAAUUCCGUGCCAGCAGCCGCGGUAAUACGGAAGGUCCGGGCGUUAUCCGGAUUUAUUGGGUUUAAAGGGAGCGUAGGCCGGAGAUUAAGCGUGUUGUGAAAUGUAGAUGCUCAACAUCUGCACUGCAGCGCGAACUGGUUUCCUUGAGUACGCACAAAGUGGGCGGAAUUCGUGGUGUAGCGGUGAAAUGCUUAGAUAUCACGAAGAACUCCGAUUGCGAAGGCAGCUCACUGGAGCGCAACUGACGCUGAAGCUCGAAAGUGCGG